GACGAACGCUGGCGGCGUGCCUAAUACAUGCAAGUAGAACGCUGAAGGAGGAGCUUGCUUCUCUGGAUGAGUUGCGAACGGGUGAGUAACGCGUAGGUAACCUGCCUGGUAGCGGGGGAUAACUAUUGGAAACGAUAGCUAAUACCGCAUAAGAGUAGAUGUUGCAUGACAUUUGCUUAAAAGGUGCAAUUGCAUCACUACCAGAUGGACCUGCGUUGUAUUAGCUAGUUGGUGGGGUAACGGCUCACCAAGGCGACGAUACAUAGCCGACCUGAGAGGGGGAGCAGCCAAACUGGGAAUGAGACACGACCAAGACCCCAACGGGAGGCAGCAGUAGGGAAUUUACGGCAAUGGACGGAAGUCUGACCGGGCAACGCCGUGUGAGUGAAGAAGGUUUUCGGAUCGUAAAGCUCUGUUGUAAGGGAAGAACGAGUGUGAGAGUGGAAAGUUCACACUGUGACGGUAACUUAACAAAAAGGGACGGCUAACUACGUG
RNAcentral lists this ribosomal RNA (495 nucleotides) under uncultured bacterium. Its description in RNAcentral is "partial 16S ribosomal RNA". It matches the Rfam family "Bacterial small subunit ribosomal RNA", at positions 28 to 507 of the family's 1533-position model. The record is from RNAcentral.